AGGAGCCUGGUUGUGUAACUGCGGCCACCCUGUGACUGGAUCUUGUCUUCUGGCCCGCGCUUUUGGAUUUGGGGGCAACACUGCCUCGCUCAGGAGCAGAGCACAAAUGACUACAGAGAAGCAAAAAAUGAAUAGACAACCCCACCAACCAAAGACCGGGGGCAGCAGCACGCCAGCAAGAAGGCAUCUUCUCUUUCCCAGCCUAGAAGCCCUGUGAAAUCGAGGAUCUUCCCCCUAAAACACACACACACGAGAUAUUGCAAUCAAGCUGCCACUGCUUGGUAAAAAGCUCAUGGUGCCUAACCAAAAAGGAUCAGGAGCAGAUCCUUGAAUCAGCUGUCACUUCUAUAGAAUGGGAUUUUUUUUCUUCCUCCUUAACCUGCACUGGAAAUUGCCGUUGGCUUCAUACAUCUCCAUAGAGGGAGGCUAAGGAGUCUUGCGUGAGAAUGAAGCAAUUUACAAUGCAAAUAGAGGCUUCUGAAGGGACGGAUACUGCUGCUCACUCAUAACCGCUUGCUGCACCUUAAUAGCUGGUUUUAUUUUCUGAUAUUAAUAGAUGAAUUGUUGGCUAACGCUGCCGGAGAUUACUUGCUGAAAGGGGGAAAAAAGUUCGGAAUAAACUCUCAAAGCAACAGAUCUCGUUUGGAUGUUUUAGCCGCACACACAAACAGAAACCAGGUCUUAUUUACAUACAAGGAGGAAUCUUAAGCGCCUGCAAGUGUCCUGGAGGACUGCUCUUCGGUACUGCCGGAAAGACCGGGAUCUGGAUGCAGGCCAGAGGAAGACAGAGGAAUGUGAGGGAAGCGAGUUGUUAUCUUUGGUUAUCUAGCUGUAUGAGUGUAUUGGUCUUCAUAAAGCUAGAUAACCGAAAGUAAAAACUCCUUCAAGAUCGCCGGGGAGCAUGUGAGAAUGAAAGACUACAACCAAGAGACAGUAAAAACCAGAAAGGUCAGGAAUACUUAUUGAAUCUAACUUUGUUUCGUUUUUGUUUUCCUUAUGAUUAAAGGUUGGAUUAGAGGAAAUUAAGUGACAUACAUAUGCCAAAAAUAAAGGUGCCAGGUCUUUUGAGAGGGGUUGUUACAAGGGAGAAUUGUAUAGUGCUAAUGAGUUAAGAGGCAUGCUCAGUCUGUCCUACUUAAAAGCAAAAGUUUAAAUAUGAGGUCCCCCCCCUUUUUUAGAAGGCUGUUGUAGAGAUGACCGAUACCUAAUUUUAAAAUGAUUUUAUAUUAUGUAGAUGUAGACUGUUCUCUUCUGAGGCAUCCUCCUCUGAUAAAUUUUAAAUUUUGCUUGGAAACUGCAUGUAUUUGGGGUGUAUAUCAGAUUAUAUGACACUGGACUAUCAGAAAAGUUUAUACUGGAAGGUUAGUAUUUUGUGUCUACUGAGGACAUACUGCUAGUAGGGAAAUGCAAAAAAAAUAAAAAGCAGAGGCUGAUUUUUAUUCUUCUAUUCAAAAUACAAGGACAGAUGCUUCUCUGUUCUAAGAGGGUUUCCUUGAGGAAGCUAUUGAAGCAGAAAGACAUGAUGGAGACGAGAUCGCCUCCCCUCUUGUCAAAGUGUUAAAAAAAUGUUCUGUCUUACUCUGGGCCUAGCAUUGGAAAUGAAAGUGACAUUUACGCCACAACCCACGUGUGCGCCUCCUCUCUUUUUGUUUAAGGAUGAUCAGGUCUAUCCAGGAAACAGCUCUGGCAUCCCAAACUGAAAUAAUUAGGACGUAUAUAGACCUGACAAAAAUGGAAAGGGGGUGGGGAAUCUGAGGGUCUGUCUUGCCUAAUUGAUUCCGCUAAACGGAAUGCAGGAGAUGUGAACGGCAGGACGCUCUGAUUCCCACGCUCGGGGGCAAGUGGUAAAGCGGGGCGGGCAGCCUAUGACAGACAGCCCUGUUGGGGGGGGUAUGAAAAAAACAUCAAGUACACACCAUACUCAUCUCCAUCGCUUAAGAAAGUAGAGGCAUUUCCCACCCACAGCCAUCUGCAGCCUCCCAAAUGGAAGCACGGACUGGUCUGUAGCUGCUGCAUGCUGUCUGUUUCUGUGAAUUUUAUAACCACUGUGUAAUCUGGCCACAAUUAAGUUCGGCUCCCUUCUUUGGUUGAGAUUUUCCAUAUUUAAGGAAAGCAGUUCCGAGAAAGCACCAAUCCUGCCCGUUCCUCAUGUCAGAUUCUCAGUCCAUACUUUUGGCCUUGUGAUCACCUUUUGGCUUUUAUUUUGGAUGAGUAAUAUUAAAAGUACCUAUCUUUAUAUAACAGACAUUAUCAUCACUUCAUCAAAGUGUUUACCUCUUACAUAACAAUUAUAGAAACUUAGCCUAAUUAUGCUAGUUGACACACUGGAAGUAAAACUAUAAAAUCAUCAACCUGUAGAAAGUUGAUUACAGUAACAAUAUGAUAAAAGGUUGUUUUGGUGUAGUCUCAGCUAGAAACGUUCUAAACAGCCAUUUUUAUUUAAUCUAAAAGUGACUAUGCUUAACCAAAACUUUGACUCUUUGAAGGCCCCUGUAGUAAUCUUUUUGUAAAUAUCUUCACAUUUGCCCACAUGUCACCAGGCAAACAUCUGUACAGGCAUUUAAACACAAAUUCAAACGUUGCAAUAAGAAAAUGCCCCAAAUCCACAUGGCCUAGAUGGCUGACAACCCCAGUCCCAACUCUGCAACUCUUCUUCAAAAGCACUACACUUUCCUUUGUAGCUUCAUCGUCUUUUAGGACUUCAGGCUGGAGAAGCCUGUGAAACCCCUGAUAGUUUCGGUUAGAAACUCCCAGAGACUGUGUUAACCUAAAUUCUCAAUUUGGCCGAGGAACACGUGCCAAAGUUUUACUACUGUAGUGACCGUUGAGAAGACCCUUGUUUAUUUACAUUUGAAGCACUGUUUGUGCAAACAACCUUUCAUUGUUAAGUGCCUGUAUUCCUUUCAUUUACUUCAUGUCCAGGGGUGCUAUUUACCUAGACCCAUUGUCUACUACAAUUAACAUUUACAUUACAAAGUGUGUGGUUUUCUUUCUCAAGGAGGUUCAAUUAAGGCAAUAAGAUGUUUGCUGGGGAAACCUAUUGUUUACUGAAAGCACUCAAUGGAGUCAAAUUACUGAAGCUUUUGCCUACAUCUCGGUCUUUUAUGUAAAUAUGUUAACUAUAACAUAUAAGUAAA
Molecule: long non-coding RNA, 3137 nt
Organism: Artibeus jamaicensis (Jamaican fruit-eating bat)
Lineage: Eukaryota; Metazoa; Chordata; Mammalia; Chiroptera; Phyllostomidae
Exons: 3
Source: RefSeq, a predicted model, not a curated record